RNAcentral lists this ribosomal RNA (734 nucleotides) under uncultured fungus. RNAcentral describes it as "SSU rRNA". It matches the Rfam family "Eukaryotic small subunit ribosomal RNA", at positions 356 to 1093 of the family's 1831-position model. The record is from RNAcentral. Lineage: Eukaryota; Fungi.
CGGGUAACGGGGAAUUAGGGUUCGAUUCCGGAGAGGGAGCCUGAGAAACGGCUACCACAUCCAAGGAAGGCAGCAGGCGCGCAAAUUACCCAAUCCCGACACGGGGAGGUAGUGACAAUAAAUAACAAUACAGGGCUCUUACGGGUCUUGUAAUUGGAAUGAGUACAAUUUAAAUCCCUUAACGAGGAACAAUUGGAGGGCAAGUCUGGUGCCAGCAGCCGCGGUAAUUCCAGCUCCAAUAGCGUAUAUUAAAGUUGUUGCAGUUAAAAAGCUCGUAGUUGAAUUUCGGGGUUCUACCGUCGGUCGGGCUAACAAGUCUGUACUGGUGUGUAGAACUUCUACCUUCUGGGGAACUAUCAUGUUAUUAAUUUAGCGUGGUAGGAAACCAGGACCUUUACCUUGAAAAAAUUAGAGUGUUCAAAGCAGGCUUACGUCUGAAUACAUUAGCAUGGAAUAAUAGAAUAGGACGGUGGUCCUGUUUUGUUGGUUUCUGAAUCACCGUAAUGAUUAAUAGGGAUAGUUGGGGGCAUUAGUAUUCAAUUGUCAGAGGUGAAAUUCUUGGAUUUAUUGAAGACUAACUUCUGCGAAAGCAUUUGCCAAGGAUGUUUUCAUUAAUCAAGAACGAAAGUUAGGGGAUCGAAGACGAUCAGAUACCGUCGUAGUCUUAACCAUAAACUAUGCCGACUAGGGAUCGGACGAUGUUAAAUUUUAUUGACUCGUUCGGCGCCUUACGG